Molecule: ribosomal RNA, 301 nt
Filed under: uncultured bacterium
Lineage: Bacteria
Description: partial 16S ribosomal RNA
Rfam family: Bacterial small subunit ribosomal RNA
Source: RNAcentral
CAGUAGCCACGGUAAUACAGAGGGUGCGAGCGUUAAUCUGAUUUACUGGGCGUAAAGCGUGCGUAGGCGGCUAAUUGAGUCGGAUGUGAAAUCCCCGAGCUUAACUUGGGAAUUGCAUUCGAUACUGGUUAGCUAGAGUGUGGGAGAGGAUGGUAGAAUUCCAGGUGUAGCGGUGAAAUGCGUAGAGAUCUGGAGGAAUACCGAUGGCGAAGGCAGCCAUCUGGCCUAACACUGACGCUGAGGUACGAAAGCAUGGGGAGCAAACAGGAUUAGAUACCCGUGUAGUCCCUGUCUCUUAUAC